This is a long non-coding RNA of Aethalodelphis obliquidens (Pacific white-sided dolphin), 687 nucleotides long. RefSeq lists it as uncharacterized. Lineage: Eukaryota; Metazoa; Chordata; Mammalia; Artiodactyla; Delphinidae. The transcript is spliced from 3 exons. The record is from RefSeq and is a predicted model, not a curated record.
UGACCACGCCCCCACCCCGGCCCUUUCUCCAGACUGGCCACUCCUCAUGCAGGCCACGCUUCCAUAGGGUCCCGCCCCUAAAGCACGCAGCCUCGGGGAUGGCUCAGCCCCAGGAAGACCCCGCCCCAAGGCUCCAACCCCAGUCUAGCUCUGCUCCCAGGCGAACCCUUGCCCCGCCCAGCCCCGCUGGCCCUAGUACAGUUCACGUUUGGCCCCUUCCCUAACUCGGGUCAACCCCCUCCUCCUGGGCUCUGAAUCUGCUCCCUCCACUGGCUACGCCCCAGAGCCCUUCUGGCCCUGCCCUAAGACGCCAACGUGCGUCUUUCAUUCACAUGCUUGCUUUUACAGAGCUCCUGCUAAGUGUCAGGCCUUUCUAGGCGCUGGAGAGUCAUCAGUGAACACAACAGGUCUGACCCAGGAGACUGUGAGCUCCGCAAGGGCAAGAGACCGUGUCUGUCUUAUUCAUCUGCCCCACGUCCGCAGGAUCUUACUGGGGACAUGGAACACGGGCUGAAUCGUCCUGGCUACCCCACUCGUGUCUUCUUGGCCACAGAAGGUGGCAUCUUGGGGGAGUAGGAGCUGGCGUGGGAGAUAAAGGGGUUGGGGGCAAGAAAAGUCACGAGGAGCAGAGGAGAGGCCCUGAGACUGCGGGGAGUCUCCAGGUCUCCUGGCUACCAUCAGCGCCGC